ACACUUGUCGUUUUGGUACACAUUGCAAACCGCGUCACAUGAAAUGCACCCAUGACCUGCAACAUAUUGAUUUUAUUAAUAUUGUUAGAAGUUGUGAUCGGAUCACAUGAAAUGCACACCCGAAUGAGAUUUAAGUAUCGUGACCAUGCCAAGGGAACCGUACCCAUGGCCACGAUGAAUUGUUAAUCGCGCCUAUAGCAAACUACGAAUACUUACAAUUUAUUCAACUUUUAAACCCAAACCAACUAAUAUCUUGUUCAAGUUAUUGGAGUCUUUAAUCCAACAAACUAAUUCAAAGAACCAUUUUUAAGCGGCAUUACAAAACAAACAGCUUCGAACAAAUGAACAGAGUAAUGAACCAUGUAUUUCACUCAAAUCUUCAUUCAAAGGUUCAGGGGCAGAUUCAAUAAAAUUUCAACAUAUACUAGUUUGACUAACGAAUCACUAGUCAUCAAAAUACCACAAAGAUCAAGUAAAACAAGCUUUGAAAUAUAAUUAUAACAGCAACUACUUAAAUUAAAAGACCAGUUAAAAAUGGACUUUAGAAUAAGAGAUUCGGGUUUCCUCUAAAGCUUUUGAAAAACAUACACGGACUUCCAAGCAUAGACUAAAUAGAGUUGCAGAAUUCUGAAACGGAACUGUGAACUACGAGCGGAACUAACGAACGGACGAUCUCGUCGGACCCGAACUCGAACCGGCAACUGACCUGAACCUCGAACCUCAGUUUCCCAUUUCCUACUCUGUUUUUCUGUUACUGUACGUGUGUUUGAGGGUAAUUUAUAAACCCAAGAUUUGACGACCCAGCUGGAUUUGGUGUUCUAUGCCAUUUUUAGGUAGUAUUGUUUGAACUAAGUUUAUUUUGGAGUUUGGUGGCUAUGGAGUUUUGGAGAGGAGUGACGGCUGUUGCAGCUCAUUUUUCGGCAUGUUGGCGUCUAGCGGCGGCUGUUGGUUUGGUGAUUGAGAGGUGAAGGAGAUGAAGGGUCGCUGGUGUGAGGUGACGGCUGGGAGGCGUGAGAAUGAUGAAGAAGGUUGCUAGUUGUUGUGAGGUCGUGAGAUGAAGAAGCAACAACGGUUGGUUUGUUUUGAGGGUUGAAGAUGAAGGGUUCUAGGUUUCAGGGGCGGCCUGUCCGGCGGCGGCGGAGAUGGUGAAUGGGAAUGGCGGAUUUCUAGUGAGCUGCUAGUUCUGGGUUCAAGAUGACUGAAGGUUCUGAUGAAGCUUAGGGUUCUGUCAUUGCCUUCAAGUGGGUGAAGAAGAAGAAGGUUAGGGGUGUUGUUUCUGAAGAUGAGGGGAACGACUGGUUUUGUUUCUAGGUCUAGGGUUAUUUUUAAUUAGGAUAUAUGAGGGGAAUGGGUAUAUGGGCUUGGAUUUAUGAAAUUGGGUUGGACCUGUCUUUUGGGUUUAAAUUUAGGCUAAGAAGACUAAAUAAUACAAUAAAUCUAUAAAGUGUAAAAAUC
This 1455-nucleotide long non-coding RNA is filed under the name Nicotiana tabacum (common tobacco). RNAcentral describes it as "long non-coding RNA (NTAB_LNC017972)". The record is from RNAcentral. Lineage: Eukaryota; Viridiplantae; Streptophyta; Magnoliopsida; Solanales; Solanaceae.